GAAGAUUUGGGAAGUAUUUGGUCUUGUUAUUGAUGCUCCUAGAUUGGUUUGACAAAUAGUAAGUCUGGGUAAGUAGUGCGGGUACAAGGCGAUCUGGAAAGCGAUGUACGGAUGUUACUCGGAUUGAAAACAUGAGUACAAGCUUGUCUAAACCGUUUCUGUUGGCAUUGAUUGGUUGAGAAGUCUUUCGGCUUCAUCAUUGGCUUCUGCUUGUAAUUUCCAUCUCUCCUCUAGAUUUUCCAGCGCCAUGAUUUGCUCUAUUCGUUCAGAAACCCUUUCCACACUGCUGGCUGCUUCAGCUGCAAUAACAUCAGACUCCAUUUCAACUUCAAUCUCAAUCAUCGAGGAAAUCCUU
This 355-nucleotide unclassified non-coding RNA is filed under the name Hevea brasiliensis (rubber tree). The record is from RNAcentral. Lineage: Eukaryota; Viridiplantae; Streptophyta; Magnoliopsida; Malpighiales; Euphorbiaceae.